RNAcentral lists this ribosomal RNA (245 nucleotides) under uncultured prokaryote. Its description in RNAcentral is "partial 16S ribosomal RNA". It matches the Rfam family "Bacterial small subunit ribosomal RNA", at positions 524 to 768 of the family's 1533-position model. The record is from RNAcentral.
UACGUAGGGUGCAAGCGUUGUCCGGAAUUAUUGGGCGUAAAGAGCUCGUAGGCGGUUUGUCGCGUCUGCUGUGAAAUCUGGUGGCUCAACCAUCAGCUUGCAGUGGGUACGGGCAGGCUAGAGUGCGGUAGGGGAGAUUGGAAUUCCUGGUGUAGCGGUGGAAUGCGCAGAUAUCAGGAGGAACACCGAUGGCGAAGGCAGAUCUCUGGGCCGCUACUGACGCUGAGGAGCGAAAGCAUGGGGAG